RNAcentral lists this ribosomal RNA (579 nucleotides) under uncultured bacterium. RNAcentral describes it as "partial 16S ribosomal RNA". It matches the Rfam family "Bacterial small subunit ribosomal RNA", at positions 355 to 1376 of the family's 1533-position model. The record is from RNAcentral.
UAAGGAAUAUUGGUCAAUGGACGCAAGUCUGAACCAGCCAUGCCGCGUGAAGGAUUAAGGUCCUCUGGAUUGUAAACUUCUUUUAUCUGGGACGAAAAAAGGCGAUUCUUCGUCACUUGACGGUACCAGAUGAAUAAGCACCGGCUAACUCCGUGCCAGCAGCCGCGGUAAUACGGAGGGUGCAAGCGUUAUCCGGAUUCACUGGGUUUAAAGGGUGCGUAGGCGGGCAGGUAAGUCAGUGGUGAAAUCCUAGAGCUUAACUCUAGAACUGCCAUUGAUACUAUCUGUCUUGAAUAUUGUGGAGGUAAGCGGAAUAUGUCAUGUAGCGGUGAAAUGCUUAGAUAUGACAUAGAACACCUAUUGCGAAGGCAGCUUACUACGCAUAUAUUGACGCUGAGGCACGAAAGCGUGGGGAUCAAACAGGAUUAGAUACCCUGGUAGUCCACGCCCUAAACGAUGAUUACUCGACAUUUGUGAUACACUAUAAGUGUCUGAGCGAAAGCAUUAAGUAAUCCACCUGGGAAGUACGACCGCAAGGUUGAAACUUAAAUGAAUUGACGGGGUCAUAGCUGUUUCCUG